GACUUGUAAACGGGAGUUGGUGGUGGUGGAGACUUAUAAACCGGGGUGUGUGGAGGGUAGUGCGGCUUCUUGGGUGGUGGUGGUGACUUGUAUACUGGAGUUGGUGGUGGUGGAGACUUAUAAACCGGGGUGUGUGGAGGGUAGUAUGGCUUCUUUGGUGGUGGUGGCGACUUGUAAACUGGGGUCGGUGGUGGUGGAGAUUUGUAAACAGGGGUGUGUGGAGGGUAGUAUGGCUUCUUGGGUGGUGGUGGCGACUUGUAAACUGGGGUGUGUGGAGGAUAGUAUGGUUUCUUAGGUGGUGGUGGUGACUUGUAAACCGGAGUUGGUGGUGGUGGAGAUUUAUAAACAGGUGCAGAAUGAUAUGGUGUUGGUGAAGGAUGGUAUGGCUUCUUAGGUGGGGGUGGAGACUUAUAUACAGGGUGGUGGGGUGGUGAUGGAUAGAUUUGCACCGGUGGAGGAGGAGACUUGUAGAGGUAUGAUUUCUUAGGUGGUGGUGGAGAUGAGUAAUGAUAAUUUGCUGAGCUUUCAGAAGCUAAGCUAAGUGACACUAAAACUACUAGAAGAGUGGCAAAUAGAGAAGCCAUU
RNAcentral lists this long non-coding RNA (585 nucleotides) under Nicotiana benthamiana. RNAcentral's name for it is "long non-coding RNA (NBEN_LNC004454)". Lineage: Eukaryota; Viridiplantae; Streptophyta; Magnoliopsida; Solanales; Solanaceae. The record is from RNAcentral.